This 855-nucleotide long non-coding RNA is filed under the name Cavia porcellus (domestic guinea pig). RNAcentral describes it as "lncRNA (ENSCPOG00000035766.1)". Lineage: Eukaryota; Metazoa; Chordata; Mammalia; Rodentia; Caviidae. The record is from RNAcentral.
CUGGAAAGCAGCUCCCUGUAACCCCGGGCCCACCGUUACGAUCUUCAUCGCGUGUGCUCCAACUGCACCUCUGCACCUGGGCCAGUGCCAGACACAGUGCGCAAUGAACCAAACCCAUAGGAAGAGAGGGAUGAAGCGAUCAGGGACCACAGAACUCAGCUCGGGUCACCUGAGCUCUAAAGCGGUCACAGGGCCUCUGUAGCCGGGUUGCCUCGAAGCCGAUGAGCCCGCCCUGGCCCAGUCUGGGCCUCAGUCUCCCUCCGUUCCCCGGCGCCUCACCUGGGGCGGCAGCAGACGCGGCAGGCGCGAGGGCUCAGCGCCCGGAGCCCGCUGCAGGGCGGCCUGCUGGGCCGCAUCCCGCAGCCGCUGAGCCGCGUCCUGCACCACGAAGGGUGGCCGCGGCGGCGGCGGCGGCGGCGGCGGCAGCUGUGCCCUCGUCACUUGCUCCAGCACCCGCCACAACUGCUCGGGGCCCAGCGGGGCCACGAGUGCCGCGCUGCCGCCCUGGCGGGGGGGAGCCCGCCCGCCGCCGCCCCUGCCGCUACUGCCGCCGUCGCCACCACGCUCGCUGCCGCCCUCGGUCUCCGACUCUGCGUCCGCCAUUACGGCCGAAGCGGGGACUCGAACCUUCGUCGCGAAGCAACGGCGCUGCUAAAAAGCUGACCCGGAUUUCCCAAGAGGAGGUCGUCGGGAUUCCAGAGCCCCUGACCUAACGCAUCACACCAUUCAAAGGUUCUCGAUGUCAUUCUACAAGGGGUUUGUGGAUUCCUGUCCGUCCCCCCCCCCGCCAUAAAUGGAACAGACUUUUCAGUUUGUUUUGGUUUGGUUUUGAGCCAGGGUCUUGCUAAAUUUGCC